RNAcentral lists this ribosomal RNA (1343 nucleotides) under uncultured bacterium. Its description in RNAcentral is "16S ribosomal RNA". It matches the Rfam family "Bacterial small subunit ribosomal RNA", at positions 28 to 1378 of the family's 1533-position model. The record is from RNAcentral.
GACGAACGCUGGCGGCGUGCUUAACACAUGCAAGUCGAACGGAAAGGCCCUGCUUUUGUGGGGUGCUCGAGUGGCGAACGGGUGAGUAACACGUGAGUAACCUGCCCUUGACUUUGGGAUAACUUCAGGAAACUGGGGCUAAUACCGGAUAGGAGCUCCUGCUGCAUGGUGGGGGUUGGAAAGUUUCGGCGGUUGGGGAUGGACUCGCGGCUUAUCAGCUUGUUGGUGGGGUAGUGGCUUACCAAGGCUUUGACGGGUAGCCGGCCUGAGAGGGUGACCGGCCACAUUGGGACUGAGAUACGGCCCAGACUCCUACGGGAGGCAGCAGUGGGGAAUAUUGCACAAUGGGCGGAAGCCUGAUGCAGCAACGCCGCGUGCGGGAUGACGGCCUUCGGGUUGUAAACCGCUUUCGCCUGUGACGAAGCGUGAGUGACGGUAAUGGGUAAAGAAGCACCGGCUAACUACGUGCCAGCAGCCGCGGUGAUACGUAGGGUGCGAGCGUUGUCCGGAUUUAUUGGGCGUAAAGGGCUCGUAGGUGGUUGAUCGCGUCGGAAGUGUAAUCUUGGGGCUUAACCCUGAGCGUGCUUUCGAUACGGGUUGACUUGAGGAAGGUAGGGGAGAAUGGAAUUCCUGGUGGAGCGGUGGAAUGCGCAGAUAUCAGGAGGAACACCAGUGGCGAAGGCGGUUCUCUGGGCCUUUCCUGACGCUGAGGAGCGAAAGCGUGGGGAGCGAACAGGCUUAGAUACCCUGGUAGUCCGCGCUGUAAACGGUGGGUACUAGGUGUGGGGUCCAUUCCACGGGUUCCGUGCCGUAGCUAACGCUUUAAGUACCCCGCCUGGGGAGUACGGCCGCAAGGCUAAAACUCAAAGGAAUUGACGGGGCCCCGCACAAGCGGCGGAGCAUGCGGAUUAAUUCGAUGCAACGCGUAGAACCUUACCUGGGUUUGACAUGGAUCGGGAGUGCUCAGAGAUGGGUGUGCCUCUUUUGGGGUCGGUUCACAGGUGGUGCAUGGCUGUCGUCAGCUCGUGUCGUGGGAUGUUGGGUUAAGUCCCGCAACGAGCGCAACCCUUGUUCACUGUUGCCAGCACGUUAUGGUGGGGACUCAGUGGAGACCGCCGGGGCCAACUCGGAGGAAGGUGGGGAUGACGUCAAGUCAUCAUGCCCCUUAUGUCCAGGGCUUCACGCAUGCUACAAUGGCUGGUACAGAGAGUGGCGAGCCUGUGAGGGUGAGCGAAUCUCGGAAAGCCGGUCUCAGUUCGGAUUGGGGUCUGCAACUCGACCUCAUGAAGUCGGAGUCGCUAGUAAUCGCAGAUCAGCAACGCUGCGGUGAAUACGUUCCCGGG